AGAAGCUCCCCGACACGAGAUUCAACUAACCUAGCUUUUUGCUACAAUAAACGGGGAGAAGAAACAGCAUCCUCUCCCCGACAAAAAACAUAGAAUUCCAGAAAUCUACGAAAUCUAUGAAUAUGGUUCGUCAUCUUCAAGGUGUUCAUCACCAUUUUCCAGAAAUUCAUUGUGUUCUUCAUUUUCCCAGAAAUGAAGAGCCUUUUAUUCAUCAAAAUCAAGGCACACAACGGCGUUUGUAGGGGUUCAAACACCACCAGACGCCAAAUGCGUUGAAUAAUGGGCUUUGCAAAACAGAAAGCCACCAACAAAUGGUGAUGGUGGGUGAAUCAAAACCCAUAGCAUGCCAAUUCAAAACCCAAAACAACAUGAACAAAAUGGGUAUACAAGUAAACAACGAAAUCAAUGCUAAACAUAAACAUGCUUCAAAACAAAGCCAAAACAAAGACAGUUGAAGAAAUUACCUUAAGCAAAGCAAAGAUUGAAGCCUCAAGUAAAGGAAAGAAGCGCAAAAGCCUUGGAGUUUUCUGAACUUUCAACUGAGAAAUGCAGUAGCAGCAGCAACGUAUGAGAGAGGGAGAGAAAAGUCCAAAUGAAUCUCCCCUCUCCUAUUUAUAGACCCUUUGAGGCCCNNN
RNAcentral lists this long non-coding RNA (635 nucleotides) under Trifolium pratense (red clover). Its description in RNAcentral is "long non-coding RNA (TPRA_LNC006360)". Lineage: Eukaryota; Viridiplantae; Streptophyta; Magnoliopsida; Fabales; Fabaceae. The record is from RNAcentral.